Hypanus sabinus (Atlantic stingray) is the source of this 20615-nucleotide long non-coding RNA. RefSeq lists it as uncharacterized. The transcript has 17 exons. Lineage: Eukaryota; Metazoa; Chordata; Chondrichthyes; Myliobatiformes; Dasyatidae. The record is from RefSeq and is a predicted model, not a curated record.
CCUCGCUCUCUCAGGCCGCUGCGCCGCGGGGUGAGGUGCAGAACCGGCUCUUCGGGAUCCGCGUCCAUCGGCGGCGGCAGCGGUGACCGGGACCCCAUCGGCCCCCGGCUGCACCCGGCAGAUGCCCAUCCUCCUCGCCUAAUCCCGAUCUGGCGCAGUUUAUUCCCGAUUAUCCCUCGGGAAGGGGUAUCGCCGCUAACAGGAGCCCCGAGGGGACCUGGGAGGUGGCAGCAUGAUUAUAUGGGUAAGGAAGAAUGGCUCCCCGAAAAGGAAAGGAGAAGAAUGGAGAGCAGGUGAUGACCACAGGUGGCUGAGGGGGAGAAUGUAUUCGAAGUUUUCAACGACACCUUUGCCCCCGUAACGGACCUGUCUAACAAGUUACUAACGUAGGCCUUUCGUAAAAGCGAAGCGGCGUACAGCGAACAUCCGUAAAGUGGGGGACACCUGUAUCUAGUGUGGACUGGAGGCUGUCCGAGAGGUGAGAGAAAAGGUUUAAAAGGACCUGGAGGCAAACAUUUCAAAGUAAAAUUUAUUAUCAGAGUACAUGCACGUCACCUCAUACGACCCUGAGAUUCUUUCUCUGCGUACAUAAGAAAUUAGUUUUGAACAUUUUGUUACAGAGGGUGGUGCUUAACGUGCAAUAAGCUGCCAGAGGGAUUUGAGGCAGGUUCAAUGAUAAGAUUUAAAAGCUACUUGGAGUGGUGCAUGGAUAGGCAAUGUUAAAAGGGAUUUGGAGCAAUGGGAUAGUAUAAGUGGGCAUCUUGGUUAGUAUGAAUAUGUUGGGCUGAGCGGCCUGUUUCUGUGUGGCAUUCGUCUCUGUGAUUAUGGGCUCUGAUGUGGUUGAUACUCUGUUCUCACGUUACUGUUAAAUGAGACCUUUCUCCGUACAAAUUGCUUGUUGUGUUUUCUCUGUUGUGUUGACCUGAUGUUGGGUAUUGAAUUGUUUGUCUAGUGUUUAUGCGCUACACGCGUGCUGUAUCGGUGUCCUCUUCCACAACCCCUGUUACAUUGCUACUGUGCUACCCUCUUUCAGAAUGGCUCCCCGAAAAGGAAAGGAGAAGAAUGGAGAGCAGGUGAUGACCACAGGUGGCUGAGGGGGAGAAUGUAUUCGAAGUUUUCAACGACACCUUUGCCCCCGUAACGGACCUGUCUAACAAAAUGGCUCCCCGAAAAGGAAAGGAGAAGGAAGAGCAGGUGAUCAGUUUGGGACCACAGGUGGCUGAGGGAGAGGACGUAUUCGGAGUUUGCCACAUCUUUGCGUCCUUCAGUGACACCUCCGUCCACGUAACGGACUUGUCUGGCAAGUGAGUAACCGAUGUCACACGCCGUCACAGCAGAUGUGGGAUAAAAACACCAGACAGAUCGAUACGGGUGUCGGCAGCUGGAGGUACACACUGGGCUGGGCGUCAUGGGGAUAGGAGGGGAAUUGGUGAGUGCUCUGCUGUGCUCAGUUACCCAGAACCCAGCACACAACCAGAGAGCUGAGUGUGUGUUUAACGUUGCCAGUAGAUGUGACGAUGGAUGCUGGUGAGGAUCACGUGGAGUGUUCAGACUGCAGGAUCAGCUUUAUCCCAGCUGCUCAGUGCUGUGGGUGUCGUUUCCCCCUGCAGAGAGGAAUUCGUUUUCUCGUUAUCCUUGUCAGUCCAGUAACCCCGGCUGACGGGGACGCUGGAUCUCGUACAUUCAUUCCUUGAUGGAAGUGUGUAGGGUUGUAAGAGGCAUAGAGUGGACAGACAGCAUCUCUUUCCUGGAGUGACAGUGGCCAAUACCAGAGGGCAUCUGAUUAAGCUGAUUGGAGGAAAGUAUAGGUGGGAUGUUGGGUUUUCACACAGAGUGGUGGGUGAGUGGACCACUGUGCCUGGGGUGGUGAUGGAGACAGAUACAUUAGGGACAUUUAAGAGACUCUCAGAUAGACACGUGGAUGAUAGAAAAUUGGAGGUUAUGUGGGAGGAAACGGUUGGAUUGACCUGGAGUAGGCAGGAUAUCAUGGGCCGAAGGGUCUGUAGUGUUCUGUGUUCUAGCUUCAUGACCUGACUGGGGGCCGGUGCACUGACUUCAGACAGUCAGCCGCAGAGCGAGCUGCCCCUUCACCUACUUCAGGGUUUUGAAUUAAUCUGUCUCUGAGACAAAGUUUGCAAUCCGUAGACUGUCAAGACAGCAGGCUGGAUACAGAGAGAAGUUUUCCCUUAGCAAAGGGUUGUCUACAGCCAGAAUUCAAUUCUUGAGAUGCAAGAAAGGCUUUUUAGGGAUGAGCUGUGGAUUCUGUUCAUUCAGAGGUGGGGUUCUCUGUCUGUAAUCUGACAGCCAUGUUGCUGAAUAUAGUGAAGGAAAAAAGGUUGCAGGAAUGUCGGGGGGAGAACACAGAAAUGAUGUGUGUUGCAGACCAGCCAGGUUUGUAUUGAGAUGAGUCUUGACAUGCUGCAUAUCCCGUUACUCAUUUAAUUCCCUCUGGUAUCAGUUACAGAAUAUCUGGGGGAGGUGGCGGGGUUUAUCACUCGGUGCCGUUUAUGUCUCCCUUUGGAUGUCAACUGCCCAGUGGUGGCAGACUUGCAGUCAUUAAGCUGGAAAGGGAGCAAAGAAGAUCUGUGUUGAUGCUGUCAGAAGUUGAGGGUCUGAGUUCUGAGGGGAGGGUUGAGCAGGCCGGAACUGAUUCCAUGUAAAGUGCGCCGGCUUCCUCCCACGUUCCAAAGACACGUGAUUGAGGGUUAGUGGGCUGUGCCAGUGCUAUGUUGGCACAGGAUACAGAGUGACGCUUGCCGGCUGCCCCAGCACAUUGUCAGACUGUGUUAGUUGUUGGUGCAAAAAGCACCCAUUUCACUGUAUGUUUCGACGUAGAUGUGACAAAUAAAGCUAACCUUUAAUACAGGAGUUCCCCCCGCCCUUUACAAAGGUAAAGUGUUACUAUGAAACCUUUCUUAUGCCGAAAUGGCGUAAAGCGAAGAACCAUUAACUUAUAUGGGAACAAUUUUCGUAAAAGCGAAAAUCCUCUUUGUAAUGCUAAAACAGGUUACUAACGUAGGCCUUUCGUAAAAGCGAAGCGGCGUACAGCGAACAUCCGUAAAGUGGGGGACACCUGUAUCUAGUGUGGACUGGAGGCUGUCCGAGAGGUGAGAGAAAAGGUUUAAAAGGACCUGGAGGCAAACAUUUCAAAGUAAAAUUUAUUAUCAGAGUACAUGCACGUCACCUCAUACGACCCUGAGAUUCUUUCUCUGCGUACAUAAGAAAUUAGUUUUGAACAUUUUGUUACAGAGGGUGGUGCUUAACGUGCAAUAAGCUGCCAGAGGGAUUUGAGGCAGGUUCAAUGAUAAGAUUUAAAAGCUACUUGGAGUGGUGCAUGGAUAGGCAAUGUUAAAAGGGAUUUGGAGCAAUGGGAUAGUAUAAGUGGGCAUCUUGGUUAGUAUGAAUAUGUUGGGCUGAGCGGCCUGUUUCUGUGUGGCAUUCGUCUCUGUGAUUAUGGGCUCUGAUGUGGUUGAUACUCUGUUCUCACGUUACUGUUAAAUGAGACCUUUCUCCGUACAAAUUGCUUGUUGUGUUUUCUCUGUUGUGUUGACCUGAUGUUGGGUAUUGAAUUGUUUGUCUAGUGUUUAUGCGCUACACGCGUGCUGUAUCGGUGUCCUCUUCCACAACCCCUGUUACAUUGCUACUGUGCUACCCUCUUUCAGAAUGGCUCCCCGAAAAGGAAAGGAGAAGAAUGGAGAGCAGGUGAUGACCACAGGUGGCUGAGGGGGAGAAUGUAUUCGAAGUUUUCAACGACACCUUUGCCCCCGUAACGGACCUGUCUAACAAAAUGGCUCCCCGAAAAGGAAAGGAGAAGGAAGAGCAGGUGAUCAGUUUGGGACCACAGGUGGCUGAGGGAGAGGACGUAUUCGGAGUUUGCCACAUCUUUGCGUCCUUCAGUGACACCUCCGUCCACGUAACGGACUUGUCUGGCAAGUGAGUAACCGAUGUCACACGCCGUCACAGCAGAUGUGGGAUAAAAACACCAGACAGAUCGAUACGGGUGUCGGCAGCUGGAGGUACACACUGGGCUGGGCGUCAUGGGGAUAGGAGGGGAAUUGGUGAGUGCUCUGCUGUGCUCAGUUACCCAGAACCCAGCACACAACCAGAGAGCUGAGUGUGUGUUUAACGUUGCCAGUAGAUGUGACGAUGGAUGCUGGUGAGGAUCACGUGGAGUGUUCAGACUGCAGGAUCAGCUUUAUCCCAGCUGCUCAGUGCUGUGGGUGUCGUUUCCCCCUGCAGAGAGGAAUUCGUUUUCUCGUUAUCCUUGUCAGUCCAGUAACCCCGGCUGACGGGGACGCUGGAUCUCGUACAUUCAUUCCUUGAUGGAAGUGUGUAGGGUUGUAAGAGGCAUAGAGUGGACAGACAGCAUCUCUUUCCUGGAGUGACAGUGGCCAAUACCAGAGGGCAUCUGAUUAAGCUGAUUGGAGGAAAGUAUAGGUGGGAUGUUGGGUUUUCACACAGAGUGGUGGGUGAGUGGACCACUGUGCCUGGGGUGGUGAUGGAGACAGAUACAUUAGGGACAUUUAAGAGACUCUCAGAUAGACACGUGGAUGAUAGAAAAUUGGAGGUUAUGUGGGAGGAAACGGUUGGAUUGACCUGGAGUAGGCAGGAUAUCAUGGGCCGAAGGGUCUGUAGUGUUCUGUGUUCUAGCUUCAUGACCUGACUGGGGGCCGGUGCACUGACUUCAGACAGUCAGCCGCAGAGCGAGCUGCCCCUUCACCUACUUCAGGGUUUUGAAUUAAUCUGUCUCUGAGACAAAGUUUGCAAUCCGUAGACUGUCAAGACAGCAGGCUGGAUACAGAGAGAAGUUUUCCCUUAGCAAAGGGUUGUCUACAGCCAGAAUUCAAUUCUUGAGAUGCAAGAAAGGCUUUUUAGGGAUGAGCUGUGGAUUCUGUUCAUUCAGAGGUGGGGUUCUCUGUCUGUAAUCUGACAGCCAUGUUGCUGAAUAUAGUGAAGGAAAAAAGGUUGCAGGAAUGUCGGGGGGAGAACACAGAAAUGAUGUGUGUUGCAGACCAGCCAGGUUUGUAUUGAGAUGAGUCUUGACAUGCUGCAUAUCCCGUUACUCAUUUAAUUCCCUCUGGUAUCAGUUACAGAAUAUCUGGGGGAGGUGGCGGGGUUUAUCACUCGGUGCCGUUUAUGUCUCCCUUUGGAUGUCAACUGCCCAGUGGUGGCAGACUUGCAGUCAUUAAGCUGGAAAGGGAGCAAAGAAGAUCUGUGUUGAUGCUGUCAGAAGUUGAGGGUCUGAGUUCUGAGGGGAGGGUUGAGCAGGCCGGAACUGAUUCCAUGUAAAGUGCGCCGGCUUCCUCCCACGUUCCAAAGACACGUGAUUGAGGGUUAGUGGGCUGUGCCAGUGCUAUGUUGGCACAGGAUACAGAGUGACGCUUGCCGGCUGCCCCAGCACAUUGUCAGACUGUGUUAGUUGUUGGUGCAAAAAGCACCCAUUUCACUGUAUGUUUCGACGUAGAUGUGACAAAUAAAGCUAACCUUUAAUACAGGAGUUCCCCCCGCCCUUUACAAAGGUAAAGUGUUACUAUGAAACCUUUCUUAUGCCGAAAUGGCGUAAAGCGAAGAACCAUUAACUUAUAUGGGAACAAUUUUCGUAAAAGCGAAAAUCCUCUUUGUAAUGCUAAAACAGGUUACUAACGUAGGCCUUUCGUAAAAGCGAAGCGGCGUACAGCGAACAUCCGUAAAGUGGGGGACACCUGUAUCUAGUGUGGACUGGAGGCUGUCCGAGAGGUGAGAGAAAAGGUUUAAAAGGACCUGGAGGCAAACAUUUCAAAGUAAAAUUUAUUAUCAGAGUACAUGCACGUCACCUCAUACGACCCUGAGAUUCUUUCUCUGCGUACAUAAGAAAUUAGUUUUGAACAUUUUGUUACAGAGGGUGGUGCUUAACGUGCAAUAAGCUGCCAGAGGGAUUUGAGGCAGGUUCAAUGAUAAGAUUUAAAAGCUACUUGGAGUGGUGCAUGGAUAGGCAAUGUUAAAAGGGAUUUGGAGCAAUGGGAUAGUAUAAGUGGGCAUCUUGGUUAGUAUGAAUAUGUUGGGCUGAGCGGCCUGUUUCUGUGUGGCAUUCGUCUCUGUGAUUAUGGGCUCUGAUGUGGUUGAUACUCUGUUCUCACGUUACUGUUAAAUGAGACCUUUCUCCGUACAAAUUGCUUGUUGUGUUUUCUCUGUUGUGUUGACCUGAUGUUGGGUAUUGAAUUGUUUGUCUAGUGUUUAUGCGCUACACGCGUGCUGUAUCGGUGUCCUCUUCCACAACCCCUGUUACAUUGCUACUGUGCUACCCUCUUUCAGAAUGGCUCCCCGAAAAGGAAAGGAGAAGAAUGGAGAGCAGGUGAUGACCACAGGUGGCUGAGGGGGAGAAUGUAUUCGAAGUUUUCAACGACACCUUUGCCCCCGUAACGGACCUGUCUAACAAAAUGGCUCCCCGAAAAGGAAAGGAGAAGAAUGGAGAGCAGGUGAUGACCACAGGUGGCUGAGGGGGAGAAUGUAUUCGAAGUUUUCAACGACACCUUUGCCCCCGUAACGGACCUGUCUAACAAAAUGGCUCCCCGAAAAGGAAAGGAGAAGGAAGAGCAGGUGAUCAGUUUGGGACCACAGGUGGCUGAGGGAGAGGACGUAUUCGGAGUUUGCCACAUCUUUGCGUCCUUCAGUGACACCUCCGUCCACGUAACGGACUUGUCUGGCAAGUGAGUAACCGAUGUCACACGCCGUCACAGCAGAUGUGGGAUAAAAACACCAGACAGAUCGAUACGGGUGUCGGCAGCUGGAGGUACACACUGGGCUGGGCGUCAUGGGGAUAGGAGGGGAAUUGGUGAGUGCUCUGCUGUGCUCAGUUACCCAGAACCCAGCACACAACCAGAGAGCUGAGUGUGUGUUUAACGUUGCCAGUAGAUGUGACGAUGGAUGCUGGUGAGGAUCACGUGGAGUGUUCAGACUGCAGGAUCAGCUUUAUCCCAGCUGCUCAGUGCUGUGGGUGUCGUUUCCCCCUGCAGAGAGGAAUUCGUUUUCUCGUUAUCCUUGUCAGUCCAGUAACCCCGGCUGACGGGGACGCUGGAUCUCGUACAUUCAUUCCUUGAUGGAAGUGUGUAGGGUUGUAAGAGGCAUAGAGUGGACAGACAGCAUCUCUUUCCUGGAGUGACAGUGGCCAAUACCAGAGGGCAUCUGAUUAAGCUGAUUGGAGGAAAGUAUAGGUGGGAUGUUGGGUUUUCACACAGAGUGGUGGGUGAGUGGACCACUGUGCCUGGGGUGGUGAUGGAGACAGAUACAUUAGGGACAUUUAAGAGACUCUCAGAUAGACACGUGGAUGAUAGAAAAUUGGAGGUUAUGUGGGAGGAAACGGUUGGAUUGACCUGGAGUAGGCAGGAUAUCAUGGGCCGAAGGGUCUGUAGUGUUCUGUGUUCUAGCUUCAUGACCUGACUGGGGGCCGGUGCACUGACUUCAGACAGUCAGCCGCAGAGCGAGCUGCCCCUUCACCUACUUCAGGGUUUUGAAUUAAUCUGUCUCUGAGACAAAGUUUGCAAUCCGUAGACUGUCAAGACAGCAGGCUGGAUACAGAGAGAAGUUUUCCCUUAGCAAAGGGUUGUCUACAGCCAGAAUUCAAUUCUUGAGAUGCAAGAAAGGCUUUUUAGGGAUGAGCUGUGGAUUCUGUUCAUUCAGAGGUGGGGUUCUCUGUCUGUAAUCUGACAGCCAUGUUGCUGAAUAUAGUGAAGGAAAAAAGGUUGCAGGAAUGUCGGGGGGAGAACACAGAAAUGAUGUGUGUUGCAGACCAGCCAGGUUUGUAUUGAGAUGAGUCUUGACAUGCUGCAUAUCCCGUUACUCAUUUAAUUCCCUCUGGUAUCAGUUACAGAAUAUCUGGGGGAGGUGGCGGGGUUUAUCACUCGGUGCCGUUUAUGUCUCCCUUUGGAUGUCAACUGCCCAGUGGUGGCAGACUUGCAGUCAUUAAGCUGGAAAGGGAGCAAAGAAGAUCUGUGUUGAUGCUGUCAGAAGUUGAGGGUCUGAGUUCUGAGGGGAGGGUUGAGCAGGCCGGAACUGAUUCCAUGUAAAGUGCGCCGGCUUCCUCCCACGUUCCAAAGACACGUGAUUGAGGGUUAGUGGGCUGUGCCAGUGCUAUGUUGGCACAGGAUACAGAGUGACGCUUGCCGGCUGCCCCAGCACAUUGUCAGACUGUGUUAGUUGUUGGUGCAAAAAGCACCCAUUUCACUGUAUGUUUCGACGUAGAUGUGACAAAUAAAGCUAACCUUUAAUACAGGAGUUCCCCCCGCCCUUUACAAAGGUAAAGUGUUACUAUGAAACCUUUCUUAUGCCGAAAUGGCGUAAAGCGAAGAACCAUUAACUUAUAUGGGAACAAUUUUCGUAAAAGCGAAAAUCCUCUUUGUAAUGCUAAAACAGGUUACUAACGUAGGCCUUUCGUAAAAGCGAAGCGGCGUACAGCGAACAUCCGUAAAGUGGGGGACACCUGUAUCUAGUGUGGACUGGAGGCUGUCCGAGAGGUGAGAGAAAAGGUUUAAAAGGACCUGGAGGCAAACAUUUCAAAGUAAAAUUUAUUAUCAGAGUACAUGCACGUCACCUCAUACGACCCUGAGAUUCUUUCUCUGCGUACAUAAGAAAUUAGUUUUGAACAUUUUGUUACAGAGGGUGGUGCUUAACGUGCAAUAAGCUGCCAGAGGGAUUUGAGGCAGGUUCAAUGAUAAGAUUUAAAAGCUACUUGGAGUGGUGCAUGGAUAGGCAAUGUUAAAAGGGAUUUGGAGCAAUGGGAUAGUAUAAGUGGGCAUCUUGGUUAGUAUGAAUAUGUUGGGCUGAGCGGCCUGUUUCUGUGUGGCAUUCGUCUCUGUGAUUAUGGGCUCUGAUGUGGUUGAUACUCUGUUCUCACGUUACUGUUAAAUGAGACCUUUCUCCGUACAAAUUGCUUGUUGUGUUUUCUCUGUUGUGUUGACCUGAUGUUGGGUAUUGAAUUGUUUGUCUAGUGUUUAUGCGCUACACGCGUGCUGUAUCGGUGUCCUCUUCCACAACCCCUGUUACAUUGCUACUGUGCUACCCUCUUUCAGAAUGGCUCCCCGAAAAGGAAAGGAGAAGAAUGGAGAGCAGGUGAUGACCACAGGUGGCUGAGGGGGAGAAUGUAUUCGAAGUUUUCAACGACACCUUUGCCCCCGUAACGGACCUGUCUAACAAAAUGGCUCCCCGAAAAGGAAAGGAGAAGGAAGAGCAGGUGAUCAGUUUGGGACCACAGGUGGCUGAGGGAGAGGACGUAUUCGGAGUUUGCCACAUCUUUGCGUCCUUCAGUGACACCUCCGUCCACGUAACGGACUUGUCUGGCAAGUGAGUAACCGAUGUCACACGCCGUCACAGCAGAUGUGGGAUAAAAACACCAGACAGAUCGAUACGGGUGUCGGCAGCUGGAGGUACACACUGGGCUGGGCGUCAUGGGGAUAGGAGGGGAAUUGGUGAGUGCUCUGCUGUGCUCAGUUACCCAGAACCCAGCACACAACCAGAGAGCUGAGUGUGUGUUUAACGUUGCCAGUAGAUGUGACGAUGGAUGCUGGUGAGGAUCACGUGGAGUGUUCAGACUGCAGGAUCAGCUUUAUCCCAGCUGCUCAGUGCUGUGGGUGUCGUUUCCCCCUGCAGAGAGGAAUUCGUUUUCUCGUUAUCCUUGUCAGUCCAGUAACCCCGGCUGACGGGGACGCUGGAUCUCGUACAUUCAUUCCUUGAUGGAAGUGUGUAGGGUUGUAAGAGGCAUAGAGUGGACAGACAGCAUCUCUUUCCUGGAGUGACAGUGGCCAAUACCAGAGGGCAUCUGAUUAAGCUGAUUGGAGGAAAGUAUAGGUGGGAUGUUGGGUUUUCACACAGAGUGGUGGGUGAGUGGACCACUGUGCCUGGGGUGGUGAUGGAGACAGAUACAUUAGGGACAUUUAAGAGACUCUCAGAUAGACACGUGGAUGAUAGAAAAUUGGAGGUUAUGUGGGAGGAAACGGUUGGAUUGACCUGGAGUAGGCAGGAUAUCAUGGGCCGAAGGGUCUGUAGUGUUCUGUGUUCUAGCUUCAUGACCUGACUGGGGGCCGGUGCACUGACUUCAGACAGUCAGCCGCAGAGCGAGCUGCCCCUUCACCUACUUCAGGGUUUUGAAUUAAUCUGUCUCUGAGACAAAGUUUGCAAUCCGUAGACUGUCAAGACAGCAGGCUGGAUACAGAGAGAAGUUUUCCCUUAGCAAAGGGUUGUCUACAGCCAGAAUUCAAUUCUUGAGAUGCAAGAAAGGCUUUUUAGGGAUGAGCUGUGGAUUCUGUUCAUUCAGAGGUGGGGUUCUCUGUCUGUAAUCUGACAGCCAUGUUGCUGAAUAUAGUGAAGGAAAAAAGGUUGCAGGAAUGUCGGGGGGAGAACACAGAAAUGAUGUGUGUUGCAGACCAGCCAGGUUUGUAUUGAGAUGAGUCUUGACAUGCUGCAUAUCCCGUUACUCAUUUAAUUCCCUCUGGUAUCAGUUACAGAAUAUCUGGGGGAGGUGGCGGGGUUUAUCACUCGGUGCCGUUUAUGUCUCCCUUUGGAUGUCAACUGCCCAGUGGUGGCAGACUUGCAGUCAUUAAGCUGGAAAGGGAGCAAAGAAGAUCUGUGUUGAUGCUGUCAGAAGUUGAGGGUCUGAGUUCUGAGGGGAGGGUUGAGCAGGCCGGAACUGAUUCCAUGUAAAGUGCGCCGGCUUCCUCCCACGUUCCAAAGACACGUGAUUGAGGGUUAGUGGGCUGUGCCAGUGCUAUGUUGGCACAGGAUACAGAGUGACGCUUGCCGGCUGCCCCAGCACAUUGUCAGACUGUGUUAGUUGUUGGUGCAAAAAGCACCCAUUUCACUGUAUGUUUCGACGUAGAUGUGACAAAUAAAGCUAACCUUUAAUACAGGAGUUCCCCCCGCCCUUUACAAAGGUAAAGUGUUACUAUGAAACCUUUCUUAUGCCGAAAUGGCGUAAAGCGAAGAACCAUUAACUUAUAUGGGAACAAUUUUCGUAAAAGCGAAAAUCCUCUUUGUAAUGCUAAAACAGGUUACUAACGUAGGCCUUUCGUAAAAGCGAAGCGGCGUACAGCGAACAUCCGUAAAGUGGGGGACACCUGUAUCUAGUGUGGACUGGAGGCUGUCCGAGAGGUGAGAGAAAAGGUUUAAAAGGACCUGGAGGCAAACAUUUCAAAGUAAAAUUUAUUAUCAGAGUACAUGCACGUCACCUCAUACGACCCUGAGAUUCUUUCUCUGCGUACAUAAGAAAUUAGUUUUGAACAUUUUGUUACAGAGGGUGGUGCUUAACGUGCAAUAAGCUGCCAGAGGGAUUUGAGGCAGGUUCAAUGAUAAGAUUUAAAAGCUACUUGGAGUGGUGCAUGGAUAGGCAAUGUUAAAAGGGAUUUGGAGCAAUGGGAUAGUAUAAGUGGGCAUCUUGGUUAGUAUGAAUAUGUUGGGCUGAGCGGCCUGUUUCUGUGUGGCAUUCGUCUCUGUGAUUAUGGGCUCUGAUGUGGUUGAUACUCUGUUCUCACGUUACUGUUAAAUGAGACCUUUCUCCGUACAAAUUGCUUGUUGUGUUUUCUCUGUUGUGUUGACCUGAUGUUGGGUAUUGAAUUGUUUGUCUAGUGUUUAUGCGCUACACGCGUGCUGUAUCGGUGUCCUCUUCCACAACCCCUGUUACAUUGCUACUGUGCUACCCUCUUUCAGAAUGGCUCCCCGAAAAGGAAAGGAGAAGAAUGGAGAGCAGGUGAUGACCACAGGUGGCUGAGGGGGAGAAUGUAUUCGAAGUUUUCAACGACACCUUUGCCCCCGUAACGGACCUGUCUAACAAAAUGGCUCCCCGAAAAGGAAAGGAGAAGGAAGAGCAGGUGAUCAGUUUGGGACCACAGGUGGCUGAGGGAGAGGACGUAUUCGGAGUUUGCCACAUCUUUGCGUCCUUCAGUGACACCUCCGUCCACGUAACGGACUUGUCUGGCAAGUGAGUAACCGAUGUCACACGCCGUCACAGCAGAUGUGGGAUAAAAACACCAGACAGAUCGAUACGGGUGUCGGCAGCUGGAGGUACACACUGGGCUGGGCGUCAUGGGGAUAGGAGGGGAAUUGGUGAGUGCUCUGCUGUGCUCAGUUACCCAGAACCCAGCACACAACCAGAGAGCUGAGUGUGUGUUUAACGUUGCCAGUAGAUGUGACGAUGGAUGCUGGUGAGGAUCACGUGGAGUGUUCAGACUGCAGGAUCAGCUUUAUCCCAGCUGCUCAGUGCUGUGGGUGUCGUUUCCCCCUGCAGAGAGGAAUUCGUUUUCUCGUUAUCCUUGUCAGUCCAGUAACCCCGGCUGACGGGGACGCUGGAUCUCGUACAUUCAUUCCUUGAUGGAAGUGUGUAGGGUUGUAAGAGGCAUAGAGUGGACAGACAGCAUCUCUUUCCUGGAGUGACAGUGGCCAAUACCAGAGGGCAUCUGAUUAAGCUGAUUGGAGGAAAGUAUAGGUGGGAUGUUGGGUUUUCACACAGAGUGGUGGGUGAGUGGACCACUGUGCCUGGGGUGGUGAUGGAGACAGAUACAUUAGGGACAUUUAAGAGACUCUCAGAUAGACACGUGGAUGAUAGAAAAUUGGAGGUUAUGUGGGAGGAAACGGUUGGAUUGACCUGGAGUAGGCAGGAUAUCAUGGGCCGAAGGGUCUGUAGUGUUCUGUGUUCUAGCUUCAUGACCUGACUGGGGGCCGGUGCACUGACUUCAGACAGUCAGCCGCAGAGCGAGCUGCCCCUUCACCUACUUCAGGGUUUUGAAUUAAUCUGUCUCUGAGACAAAGUUUGCAAUCCGUAGACUGUCAAGACAGCAGGCUGGAUACAGAGAGAAGUUUUCCCUUAGCAAAGGGUUGUCUACAGCCAGAAUUCAAUUCUUGAGAUGCAAGAAAGGCUUUUUAGGGAUGAGCUGUGGAUUCUGUUCAUUCAGAGGUGGGGUUCUCUGUCUGUAAUCUGACAGCCAUGUUGCUGAAUAUAGUGAAGGAAAAAAGGUUGCAGGAAUGUCGGGGGGAGAACACAGAAAUGAUGUGUGUUGCAGACCAGCCAGGUUUGUAUUGAGAUGAGUCUUGACAUGCUGCAUAUCCCGUUACUCAUUUAAUUCCCUCUGGUAUCAGUUACAGAAUAUCUGGGGGAGGUGGCGGGGUUUAUCACUCGGUGCCGUUUAUGUCUCCCUUUGGAUGUCAACUGCCCAGUGGUGGCAGACUUGCAGUCAUUAAGCUGGAAAGGGAGCAAAGAAGAUCUGUGUUGAUGCUGUCAGAAGUUGAGGGUCUGAGUUCUGAGGGGAGGGUUGAGCAGGCCGGAACUGAUUCCAUGUAAAGUGCGCCGGCUUCCUCCCACGUUCCAAAGACACGUGAUUGAGGGUUAGUGGGCUGUGCCAGUGCUAUGUUGGCACAGGAUACAGAGUGACGCUUGCCGGCUGCCCCAGCACAUUGUCAGACUGUGUUAGUUGUUGGUGCAAAAAGCACCCAUUUCACUGUAUGUUUCGACGUAGAUGUGACAAAUAAAGCUAACCUUUAAUACAGGAGUUCCCCCCGCCCUUUACAAAGGUAAAGUGUUACUAUGAAACCUUUCUUAUGCCGAAAUGGCGUAAAGCGAAGAACCAUUAACUUAUAUGGGAACAAUUUUCGUAAAAGCGAAAAUCCUCUUUGUAAUGCUAAAACAGGUUACUAACGUAGGCCUUUCGUAAAAGCGAAGCGGCGUACAGCGAACAUCCGUAAAGUGGGGGACACCUGUAUCUAGUGUGGACUGGAGGCUGUCCGAGAGGUGAGAGAAAAGGUUUAAAAGGACCUGGAGGCAAACAUUUCAAAGUAAAAUUUAUUAUCAGAGUACAUGCACGUCACCUCAUACGACCCUGAGAUUCUUUCUCUGCGUACAUAAGAAAUUAGUUUUGAACAUUUUGUUACAGAGGGUGGUGCUUAACGUGCAAUAAGCUGCCAGAGGGAUUUGAGGCAGGUUCAAUGAUAAGAUUUAAAAGCUACUUGGAGUGGUGCAUGGAUAGGCAAUGUUAAAAGGGAUUUGGAGCAAUGGGAUAGUAUAAGUGGGCAUCUUGGUUAGUAUGAAUAUGUUGGGCUGAGCGGCCUGUUUCUGUGUGGCAUUCGUCUCUGUGAUUAUGGGCUCUGAUGUGGUUGAUACUCUGUUCUCACGUUACUGUUAAAUGAGACCUUUCUCCGUACAAAUUGCUUGUUGUGUUUUCUCUGUUGUGUUGACCUGAUGUUGGGUAUUGAAUUGUUUGUCUAGUGUUUAUGCGCUACACGCGUGCUGUAUCGGUGUCCUCUUCCACAACCCCUGUUACAUUGCUACUGUGCUACCCUCUUUCAGAAUGGCUCCCCGAAAAGGAAAGGAGAAGAAUGGAGAGCAGGUGAUGACCACAGGUGGCUGAGGGGGAGAAUGUAUUCGAAGUUUUCAACGACACCUUUGCCCCCGUAACGGACCUGUCUAACAAAAUGGCUCCCCGAAAAGGAAAGGAGAAGGAAGAGCAGGUGAUCAGUUUGGGACCACAGGUGGCUGAGGGAGAGGACGUAUUCGGAGUUUGCCACAUCUUUGCGUCCUUCAGUGACACCUCCGUCCACGUAACGGACUUGUCUGGCAAAAUGGCUCCCCGAAAAGGAAAGGAGAAGAAUGGAGAGCAGGUGAUGACCACAGGUGGCUGAGGGGGAGAAUGUAUUCGAAGUUUUCAACGACACCUUUGCCCCCGUAACGGACCUGUCUAGCAAAAUGGCUCCCCGAAAAGGAAAGGAGAAGGAAGAGCAGGUGAUCAGUUUGGGACCACAGGUGGCUGAGGGAGAGGACGUAUUCGGAGUUUGCCACAUCUUUGCGUCCUUCAGUGACACCUCCGUCCACGUAACGGACUUGUCUGGCAAGUGAGUAACCGAUGUCACACGCCGUCACAGCAGAUGUGGGAUAAAAACACCAGACAGAUCGAUACGGGUGUCGGCAGCUGGAGGUACACACUGGGCUGGGCGUCAUGGGGAUAGGAGGGGAAUUGGUGAGUGCUCUGCUGUGCUCAGUUACCCAGAACCCAGCACACAACCAGAGAGCUGAGUGUGUGUUUAACGUUGCCAGUAGAUGUGACGAUGGAUGCUGGUGAGGAUCACGUGGAGUGUUCAGACUGCAGGAUCAGCUUUAUCCCAGCUGCUCAGUGCUGUGGGUGUCGUUUCCCCCUGCAGAGAGGAAUUCGUUUUCUCGUUAUCCUUGUCAGUCCAGUAACCCCGGCUGACGGGGACGCUGGAUCUCGUACAUUCAUUCCUUGAUGGAAGUGUGUAGGGUUGUAAGAGGCAUAGAGUGGACAGACAGCAUCUCUUUCCUGGAGUGACAGUGGCCAAUACCAGAGGGCAUCUGAUUAAGCUGAUUGGAGGAAAGUAUAGGUGGGAUGUUGGGUUUUCACACAGAGUGGUGGGUGAGUGGACCACUGUGCCUGGGGUGGUGAUGGAGACAGAUACAUUAGGGACAUUUAAGAGACUCUCAGAUAGACACGUGGAUGAUAGAAAAUUGGAGGUUAUGUGGGAGGAAACGGUUGGAUUGACCUGGAGUAGGCAGGAUAUCAUGGGCCGAAGGGUCUGUAGUGUUCUGUGUUCUAGCUUCAUGACCUGACUGGGGGCCGGUACACUGACUUCAGACAGUCAGCCGCAGAGCGAGCUGCCCCUUCACCUACUUCAGGGUUUUGAAUUAAUCUGUCUCUGAGACAAAGUUUGCAAUCCGUAGACUGUCAAGACAGCAGGCUGGAUACAGAGAGAAGUUUUCCCUUAGCAAAGGGUUGUCUACAGCUUGAAUUCAAUUCUUGAGAUGCAAGAAAGGCCUUUUAGGGAUGAGCUGUGGAUUCUGUUCAUUCAGAGGUGGGGUUCUCUGUCUGUAAUCUGACAGCCAUGUUGCUGAAUAUAGUGAAGGAAAAAAGGUUGCAGGAAUGUCGGGGGGAGAACACAGAAAUGAUGUGUGUUGCAGACCAGCCAGGUUUGUAUUGAGAUGAGUCUUGACAUGCUGCAUAUCCCGUUACUCAUUUAAUUCCCUCUGGUAUCAGUUACAGAAUAUCUGGGGGAGGUGGCGGGGUUUAUCACUGGGUGCCGUUUAUGUCUCCCUUUGGAUGUCAACUGCCCUGUGGUGGCAGACUUGCAGUCAUUAAGCUGGAAAGGGAGCAAAGAAGAUCUGUGUUGAUGCUGUCAGAAGUUGAGGGUCUGAGUUCUGAGGGGAGGUUUGAGCAGGGCGGAACUGAUUCCAUGUAAAGUGCGCCGGCUUCCUCCCACGUUCCAAAGACACGUGAUUGAGGGUUAGUGGGCUGUGCCAGUGCUAUGUUGGCACAGGAUACAGAGUGACGCUUGCCGGCUGCCCCAGCGCAUUGUUAGACUGUGUUAGUUGUUGGUGCAAAAAGCACCCAUUUCACUGUAUGUUUCGACGUAGAUGUGACAAAUAAAGCUAACCUUUAAUACAGGAGUUCCCCCCGCCCUUUACAAAGGUAAAGUGUUACUAUGAAACCUUUCUUAUGCCGAAAUGGCGUAAAGCGAAGAACCAUUAACUUAUAUGGGAACAAUUUUCGUAAAAGCGAAAAUCCUCUUUGUAAUGCUAAAACAGGUUACUAACGUAGGCCUUUCGUAAAAGCGAAGCGGCGUACAGCGAACAUCCGUAAAGUGGGGGACACCUGUAUCUAGUGUGGACUGGAGGCUGUCCGAGAGGUGAGAGAAAAGGUUUAAAAGGACCUGGAGGCAAACAUUUCAAAGUAAAAUUUAUUAUCAGAGUACAUGCACGUCACCUCAUACGACCCUGAGAUUCUUUCUCUGCGUACAUAAGAAAUUAGUUUUGAACAUUUUGUUACAGAGGGUGGUGCUUAACGUGCAAUAAGCUGCCAGAGGGAUUUGAGGCAGGUUCAAUGAUAAGAUUUAAAAGCUACUUGGAGUGGUGCGUGGAUAGGCAAUGUUAAAAGGGAUUUGGAGCAAUGGGAUAGUAUAAGUGGGCAUCUUGGUUAGUAUGAAUAUGUUGGGCUGAGCGGCCUGUUUCUAUGUGGCAUUCGUCUCUGUGAUUAUGGGCUCUGAUGUGGUUGAUCUGUUCUCACGUUACUGUUAAAUGAGACCUUUCUCCGUACAAAUUGCUUGUUGUGUUUUCUCUGUUGUGUUGACCUGAUGUUGGGUAUUGAAUUGUUUGUCUAGUGUUUAUGCGCUACACGCGUGCUGUAUCGGUGUCCUCUUCCACAACCCCUGUUACAUUGCUACUGUGCUACCCUCUUUCAGAAUGGCUCCCCGAAAAGGAAAGGAGAAGAAUGGAGAGCAGGUGAUGACCACAGGUGGCUGAGGGGGAGAAUGUAUUCGAAGUUUUCAACGACACCUUUGCCCCCGUAACGGACCUGUCUAGCAACCCCAAUCUCUUGCCUUCUGCCUGUGUCCCUUCAUGUGCUGACUUGCCUGGAAUACAUCAACCUCUGCCUUAUCGCCUCCACUACCACCUGUGGUAAUGUGUUCUACAGAUUCGCCACUCUGUGGCUAAGAAAUUCCUCUUCAGAAUGGCUCCCCGAAAAGGAAAGGAGAAGGAAGAGCAGGUGAUCAGUUUGGGACCACAGGUGGCUGAGGGAGAGGACGUAUUCGGAGUUUGCCACAUCUUUGCGUCCUUCAGUGACACCUCCGUCCACGUAACGGACUUGUCUGGCAAAAUGACUCCCCAAAAAUGACAGGAGAAAGAAGAACAGGUGAUCAGUUUGGGACCACAGGUGGCUGAGAGGGAGAAUGUAUUUGGAGUUUGCCACAUCUUUGCUUCCUUCAUCGACACCUUUGUCCACGUAACGGACCUGUCCGGCAACUUCAGCUUACUGUCUUUCUCAGUCCUGAAGGAGCCUGACUGGAAACGUUGACUGUUCUUUGGUAUGGAAGCUUUGCUGAUGGGUUAUGACGCUGCGAGAACCCUGGUGCUGCACUGGAUACUUGUGAAGAUGGACGUACAUUUCCAUAUCUGUGGACCAAGCUGGAUCUUUCCACCCCUGUACAGCCCUUGUAGACUAUCUCAAAGCACUCCUCCUCAACUUCCGGCAGCACUCCUGAUCUACAGGCUUGCAGUGCAGAGGGCGUGUGGGUUGCUCGGGGGAUUGCCUAGUGGGCCUGCUCCUGAUAUGGCCAUUCAUGGGCUGCCCACUCCUCUUUGGGGUUACAUCCAUGCCUGGGUGUGUUCGGAGAGGGACUGAGAAUGGUGUCCCUCUCCCCUGAAUUGAGUAUUUGGUAGACAAUGGGAAUUGUAUUUUAAUUUGAAAUUGUUAUUAGAUUUGUAAACCCCUGCUAGUUGUAUGUACGGUUUUUUGAGAUUCAAUAAAGUUGCAAGGUUGUAAAAAGAGAGGACCAGGCGGGUGUGAUGUCUAUGAACAGUAACUGAGCUCACUGACAUGUUUCCUUCCGAACUGCUGAGAUACCCUUCCCCUGUCCUCUCUCUGACUUUGAACACCAGUCUGAUGUCUAUUCCCUCACUGGUUGCUGAGUUAAAAAAAUACAUCUUCAAGUUUAUUGUCACUGGACUGUAUAUAUAUACAACCAAAAGAAACUACAUUCCUCUGGACCACAGUGCACAAUACAUAUCUCACACAGCACAUAAAAUAUUACCCCAAAUAUAUUUCAAAAUGCAUGUAGGGUGCAGUGGAGGUACAAGAUUGGUGGUGGCAGGCUACAGUGUAUGUGUAGUGUUUGUGGGCUGUUCUGAAUCUAAUGGUGAAGGGGAAAAAGCUGUGGGUCUUCAAACUCCUGUACCACCUCUGGUGCCAGUGAAAUGGGUGUCCAGGAUGGUGAGAGCCCUUAAUGCCACCUUCUUGAGGCAUCAUCUUUGAAGAUGUCUUCGAUGGAUGAUUUUUUAAAUAUAUAUAUAGUAAUAUAUGUGGCUCUUUUAUUAAAGCAUUACAUAUCAAGUAGUGAUGAGCCUGCCAUAAAUAAUAUAAGAUAUAUGUAACAACUAUAAUGUGAUCUGAAAAUGUCUGUGAUUUCUACGGGUGACAAAGUCACGUGUGCUGCUAAUACUGCUGUGUGCUAAUACCACAUCCAUAAUUUAAAUUUUUUUAAUUUAUUAAAUUUUAGAAAAUUACAAAGAAUAAAUAUGAUGAUAAAAUAGUAAGAAAAAUAAUAUUAACCCUCCCCCCCCCCUUAACCCUUAUCUAAAGAAAGAAAGAAAAAAAGAAGAGAAAGAUUGCCUGGUUAUUGGAGGAUCCCCACAUGCUCCAUGGAGCAUUUUAAUAUUUAUUUUUACUUUCCCCAAUUACUUUAUAAUUUUAUCUUCAAAGGACCUAUGUAUUUAGUCCUGUCUUUUGUAAGUAUGGGAGCCAAAUUUUCAAAAAUGUAUCAUUCAUUUCUUAGAUUGUAUGUAAUUUUUUCAAGUGGAAUACAACUAUGUAUUUCAUUAUUCCAACAAUCCAUAGUUAAAUAUAAAUCAGAUUUCCAAGUAACUGCGAUAACUCUUUUGGCUCCUGCCAAUGCAAUUUUUAUAAAUUUUUUCUGAUACUUAUUCAAUUUAAGUUUUGGUAUUGUCCCUUCAAUGUCUCCUAAUAAAAAUAAUACUGGACUAUGUGGGAGUUAUACUCCAGUAAUUUGUUCCAAUAAAAGUCUUAGAUUUAUCCAAAAUGGUUGAAUUUUAAAACAAGACCAAGUAGAAUGUAAAAAAGUACCAAUUUCUUGAUUACAUCGAAAACAUUGGUCAGACAUAUUUGAAUUUAAUCUAUUUAUUUUCUGUGGUGUUAUAUAUAAUUGAUGUAAAAAAAUUAUAUUAUAUUAAUCUAAGUUGAACAUUUAUUGUAUUUCUCAAACUAUAAGAACAUAAUCUUGACCAGUUUUUCCAUCAAUUAUAACAUUCAAAUCAGAUUCCCAUUUUUGUCUUGAUUUAUGAAUUCCUGAUUUAAUUGUCUGUUUUUGAAUCAAAUUAUACAUACAAGAUGUAAAUUUUUUAAUUUUUCCUUUUUGAAUUAAUAUUUCUAUUUCACUAGGUUUUGGCAUCAACAUUGUUUGUCCCAGCUUUUCUCGUAAAUAAGCAUCUAAUUGAAAAUAACAGAAAAGAGUGUUAUUUGAUAUUUUAUAUUUGUUUUUUAAUUGAUCAAAUGACAUCAAUAUACCUCCUUCAAAACAAUCACCUAUAUAUUUAAUCCCCUUUUGGAACCAAUUAUGUAAAAGUUUAUUAUCCAUUGUAAAAGGAAUAAGUCUUUUGAAUGAAAGUUCUUUUUGCUAAUAAAGAUUUCUUUAUCAUCGUCCAUAUUUACCUUAUUCCAUAAAUCAAUCAAGUGUCUUAAUAUAGGAGAUUCUUUUUUUUCCCGUAUCCAUUUGGAUUUCCAUUUAUAUAUAAAAUCUUCUGGUAUGUUUUCUCCUAUCUAAUUCUAUUCAAAUCCAUCCCGGUUUUUCUUCAUCAAAAAAAGAUGCAAUAAAUUGAUUUGCUUUAUAAUAAUUCUUAAAAUUUGGAAGUUGUAACCCUCCUAAAUCAAAUUUACAUGUCAAUUUUUCCGAUGAUAUUCUUGACAUCUUUCCAAAGAAAUUUCCUUACAUAUUUAUUCCAUUCUUGAAAAAACUUCUGAGGUAAUUGUAUUGGUAAAGUUUGGAAUAAAUAUUGCAAUCUAGGAAAUUAUUCAUUUUUACAGCAUUAACUACCUAUUAAUGUUAUUGGUAACAUCAUCCAUUUAUCAAGAUCCUCUUAUUUU